UUAUGGCUCAGUGGUAGAGCGCCUAUCUAGCAUACAUGAGGCACUGAGUUCAAUUCUCAGCAUAUAAA
Molecule: non-coding RNA, 68 nt
Organism: Ictidomys tridecemlineatus (thirteen-lined ground squirrel)
Lineage: Eukaryota; Metazoa; Chordata; Mammalia; Rodentia; Sciuridae
Source: Rfam